RNAcentral lists this long non-coding RNA (555 nucleotides) under Homo sapiens (human). Its description in RNAcentral is "HSALNT0031511". The record is from RNAcentral. Lineage: Eukaryota; Metazoa; Chordata; Mammalia; Primates; Hominidae.
GAUCCAGGAAGCUAUGAGAAUGCCCUCUGAUGUCUACGGAUGGUGAGUCAACAAAAAACAAUGAAAAGUCAGCAGUCUGCAACCUGGAAGAGGGUCCUCACCAGAACCUGACCAGGCUGGCACACCCAUCUCAGACUUCCAGCCUCCAGAGUUUUCAAAUUUAGGCUGGUCUGCGAUUUGCUUUGGCUGACAGAAUAUGAUGAAGUGAUGUUAUAUGGGUUCCUUACUCAGCCUUUAAGUGGACUUGCAGCUACUGCUCUCUACUCCACACUGCUACCACCAUCUGAAGAACCCUACAGUAGGAGACACUUGGCCCAGAUAGUCACAAAGAAAAAGAGUAUGCAGUGAGAAGGACAAGUCUCAUAACCACAUGUUGUUAAUGAAGAAGCUGAGGCACCAAGCGACUUAAGGAUUUGACCAAAAUCAGACAGCAGCAGAUUCAAAGAUAAUGCCAGCUCCUCAUCUUCGUUUCUGGUGCUGUUUACACCGUGAUACUUCAACACUGAAAGAAACACCUAUCAAUUCUCGUACAACUUUAAAGAUGCAUUCUUACUG